UACGUAGGGGGCUAGCGUUGUCCGGACUUACUGGGCGUAAAGCGCGCGCAGGCGGUCGUGUAUGUGCCGUGCGAAAAGCGCCCGGGGCUACUCCCCGGCGAGGUCAUGGUAGACAGCACGACUUGAGCCUCGGAGAGGUCGGUGGAAUUCCGGGUGGAGCGGUGAAAUGCGUAGAUAUUAGGAGGAACACCAGUGGCGAAGGCGGCUUACUGGACGGUAACUGACGUUUGAGGCUCGAAAGCGUGGGGGAGCAAACAGGG
RNAcentral lists this ribosomal RNA (260 nucleotides) under uncultured bacterium. RNAcentral describes it as "partial 16S ribosomal RNA". It matches the Rfam family "Bacterial small subunit ribosomal RNA", at positions 524 to 777 of the family's 1533-position model. The record is from RNAcentral.